UACGGGAGGCAGCAGUGGGGAAUAUUGCACAAUGGGCGCAAGCCUGAUGCAGCCAUGCCGCGUGUAUGAAGAAGGCCUUCGGGUUGUAAAGUACUUUCAGUCGUGAGGAAGGUGUUAAGGUUAAUAACCUUAGCAAUUGACGUUAGCGACAGAAGAAGCACCGGCUAACUCCGUGCCAGCAGCCGCGGUAAUACGGAGGGUGCGAGCGUUAAUCGGAAUUACUGGGCGUAAAGGGCACGCAGGCGGUUAAUUAAGUUGGAUGUGAAAUCCCCGGGCUUAACCUGGGAAUGGCAUUCAGGACUGGUUAGCUAGAGUCUUGUAGAGGGGGUAGAAUUCCAUGUGUAGCGGUGAAAUGCGUAGAGAUGUGGAGGAAUACCGGUGGCGAAGGCGGCCCCUGGGACAAAGACUGACGCUCAUGUGCGAAAGCGUGGGGAGCGAAACAGGAUUAGAUACC
RNAcentral lists this ribosomal RNA (454 nucleotides) under uncultured bacterium. RNAcentral's name for it is "bacterial SSU rRNA". It matches the Rfam family "Bacterial small subunit ribosomal RNA", at positions 340 to 786 of the family's 1533-position model. The record is from RNAcentral.